Molecule: ribosomal RNA, 301 nt
Filed under: uncultured bacterium
Lineage: Bacteria
Description: partial 16S ribosomal RNA
Rfam family: Bacterial small subunit ribosomal RNA
Source: RNAcentral
CAGCCCCGCGGGAAUACGUAGGGUGCAAGCGUUAAUCGGAAUUACUGGGCGUAAAGCGUGCGCAGGCGGUUAUAUAAGACAGAUGUGAAAUCCCCGGGCUCAACCUGGGAACUGCAUUUGUGACUGUAUAGCUAGAGUACGGCAGAGGGGGAUGGAAUUCCGCGUGUAGCAGUGAAAUGCGUAGAUAUGCGGAGGAACACCGAUGGCGAAGGCAAUCCCCUGGGCCUGUACUGACGCUCAUGCACGAAAGCGUGGGGAGCAAACAGGAUUAGAUACCGUGUAGUCCCUGUCUCUUAUACAC